RNAcentral lists this ribosomal RNA (207 nucleotides) under uncultured delta proteobacterium. RNAcentral's name for it is "partial 16S ribosomal RNA". It matches the Rfam family "Bacterial small subunit ribosomal RNA", at positions 568 to 774 of the family's 1533-position model. The record is from RNAcentral. Lineage: Bacteria; Deltaproteobacteria.
CGUGUAGGCUGCCCCGCAAGUCGGAUGUGAAAGCCCUGGGCUCAACCUAGGAAGUGCAUUCGAAACUGCGGGGCUGGAGUCCUGGAGAGGAAGGCGGAAUUCUCGGUGUAGAGGUGAAAUUCGUAGAUAUCGAGAGGAACACCGGUGGCGAAGGCGGCCUUCUGGACAGUGACUGACGCUGAGACGCGAAAGCGUGGGGAGCAAACA